UUCCGGUUGAUCCUGCCGGAGGUCACUGCUAUCGGGGUUCGAUUAAGCCAUGCGAGUCGAGAGGGUUCAGACCCUCGGCGGACUGCUCAGUAACACGUGGAUAAUCUGCCCUAUGGUGGAGGAUAACCCCGGGAAACUGGGGAUAAUACUCCAUAAGUCAGGAGUACUGGAAUGUCUCCUAACUGAAAGUUUCGGCGCCAUAGGAUGAAUCUGCGGCCGAUUAGGUAGUUGUUGGGGUAACGGCCCAACAAGCCCGUAAUCGGUACGGGUUGUGGGAGCAAGAGCCCGGAGAUGGAAUCUGAGACACGAUUCCAGGCCCUACGGGGCGCAGCAGGCGCGAAAACUUUACAAUGCAGGAAACUGUGAUAAGGGAACCCCGAGUGCCCGUACACGCGGGCUGUCCCGGUGUUUAAAACACAUCGGAAGAAAGGGCCGGGCAAGACCGGUGCCAGCCGCCGCGGUAAUACCGGCGGCUCGAGUGGUGACCACUUUUAUUGGGCUUAAAGCGUUCGUAGCUUGAUUUUUAAGUCUCUUGGGAAAUCUCACGGCUUAACUGUGAGGCGUCUAAGAGAUACUGGGAAUCUAGGGACCGGGAGAGGUAAGAGGUACUUCAGGGGUAGAAGUGAAAUUCUGUAAUCCUUGAGGGACCACCGAUGGCGAAGGCAUCUUACCAGAACGGCUUCGACAGUGAGGAACGAAAGCUGGGGGAGCGAACGGGAUUAGAUACCCCGGUAGUCCCAGCCGUAAACUAUGCGCGUUAGGUGUGCCUGUAACUACGAGUUACCGGGGUGCCGAAGUGAAAACGUGAAACGUGCCGCCUGGGAAGUACGGUCGCAAGGCUGAAACUUAAAGGAAUUGGCGGGGGAGCACCACAACGGGUGGAGCCUGCGGUUUAAUUGG
This 900-nucleotide ribosomal RNA is filed under the name uncultured archaeon. RNAcentral's name for it is "bacterial SSU rRNA". It matches the Rfam family "Archaeal small subunit ribosomal RNA", at positions 1 to 909 of the family's 1478-position model. The record is from RNAcentral.